AUGGGAUCGACCAGAAAUAGGUCAGAUCUCGAUCUCAUCUCGCUGAGGCUCCGCUCCUCUCCUCCCCCACCCCUACCCCUGCCCGUCAGUACCCUAACCCUCCAGCCGCCGGCCAUGGCCGCCCCCCUCUGCACGCACGCACCCACCCAGGCGGCCUUUCCCCAACCAUGCAUGCAUCUCGCGUCUCUGUUUCUCCUCCCUCCCUCCUGGAUCGAUCGAUCCAUCGAUUCAAAGAAACAAGUCAACGAGGUGGCCCGUCGAUCGGUCGGUCGCUCGCUCGCGCAUCCACCGAGUGCAACCGUCCCUAGCAGCACUCGCACCCCCGGUGGAGCGAGCUCCAAGGGCCUGUUUGGAACUGCUCUGCUUCACCAAAAUCAGUUUCUCUCCACUAAAUUCACUUUGGAGCAGUUUCAUAUAGAAGUUGUAGCACUACCAAAGAGAAUGUUUGGCUUCCAUCUAGCUCCAGCUUCAAGAAUGGGAAAUUUGGUGAAAAGGAUCUAUUUGAUUGGUUGA
This 513-nucleotide ribosomal RNA is filed under the name Triticum aestivum (bread wheat). RNAcentral describes it as "partial small subunit ribosomal RNA". The record is from RNAcentral. Lineage: Eukaryota; Viridiplantae; Streptophyta; Magnoliopsida; Poales; Poaceae.